This 18-nucleotide transfer RNA is filed under the name Anolis cybotes (large-headed anole). RNAcentral's name for it is "partial tRNA-Asx". RNAcentral also lists the same sequence under 1 other name. Lineage: Eukaryota; Metazoa; Chordata; Lepidosauria; Squamata; Anolidae. The record is from RNAcentral.
CUGAAUAGACGGGCCUCG